Molecule: long non-coding RNA, 1559 nt
Organism: Peromyscus leucopus (white-footed mouse)
Lineage: Eukaryota; Metazoa; Chordata; Mammalia; Rodentia; Cricetidae
Exons: 5
Source: RefSeq, a predicted model, not a curated record
UUCCUCCUCUCUCUCCUAAUCGCUCCAGCCUCCAGAAAAUGGGCCCUGUGUUCGUUCCCAGGGCACCAUGGUGGAAGCCAUAAAGCUGAAGUCGGAGACACUGGAUGUUCCUGGCUCCAGCCUUCCCAACCAUCCUCUGCCAUCUAUAAAAUCCACCACUCUCCAUUCGUAGACAGCUCCGAUCGCCUGGCUCGGAUCCUAGCCGUUGCCGGGCCUCGGUGUGUGCGAAGUCAGGGCACUUCACAACUGUGCCCUGUUUAAACAGGAAAAGCAUGCACCAUUUUGUCCAGGAGGGAGGAGGAGGCAGCCUGAAGCCUCCCUCUUUGGUGCGGCCUCCAGGGGUGCAGACCAACAAAGAAGACAUUAAAACCUGCCACCAAAGAGGGAAGGAAACGGCUCCCCUUGGUCUUCCCAGUCGUUCGGCUCCAAGGUGGUGGUUAGUGGUCCCAGACAAGAGUUCACAGAGACGGUGUGCAUCCUGGGUGCAGGAUGAUGCUACGCAGUGCCGAAGGCGACUCGGGAAACGUCUUGCUCACGAGACAGGGAACGCGGUGGGAUGGUGUGUAACUGUAGCGCUGCACAUCUGAGCCAGCACCACAUUGUGCCGUGCGGACAGAAGGACACGGCGAGGUGGGGGCCACAGCGGGAGAGGAUAGGGCUAAUCGGAGGGACAGUGGCGGACCUCGGGCUCCCGGCUCUGGCGGUCCCUUGCCUCUUCCGAAGGCUUCGGGUUAGUCAAGGCCUUCUCUAGGGAGGAGAAGGAUGGAUUUGAGCCCCUCGGUCAGUAAUUCCCGCUGCCAGAGCGAAUCAAGAAACAGGUCUUGGGGCCCGGAGAGACGGUUGGUUCAGUGGUUAGUAACACUUGCUGCUCUUCCAGAAGACUGGAGUUUGGCUGGCAACCACCUCUAACUCCGCUUCCAAGGGAUCUGGCUCCCUCUUCUGGCCUCCGCCAGCACUUGCCUGCUUGUGGCCAUCACUCACAUGGACACAUACACUUGAGUAAAAGUAGCGUCUUGCUAUGACGUCCAAGCUAGCCUAGACAUCCUCCUGCCUCAGGCCCUGGAAUAGCUGAAACUUCAGACACGGACCACCACCAUGCAGCUCCUACGGAUUUAUGAGCCAUUUAAAGACUAAGGCCUCAUGAUGGGUGUACCUGGCUGGGAUGCUGUCACUGGCUCCCAUCAAAGUUCCUGUCCGACCUGGAGACACGGCUCAGUGGUAGGAUGGGCCGAGCGUACUUGGAGCCCUGGGCUCCAUCAGAGUCAAUUCCCUGUCAGAGAAGACACUAUGGAUGCUCCGGUAUAGAAACUCCACGGCCUCACUUCACCAGACAGAGGGAAAGGGUGCCCACGAAAAACUCCUCCCCCCAACACUGACUCCUCCAAGGUGAAUGACUAUGAUGGUUUCUUUUAAAAUGAAUGCUCAGUUAUAGUCUGAUUCAGGUAUUUCAGAAACUGCAUGGAUAGUUCAGACGGGGUAGAAAUUAUUUUUAAAUAAUUUUGAGAAUCCUGAGGUUAAACCAAGGUCUUCAAACAGAGUUCAGUUUUUCCGUUUUUUGU